Molecule: long non-coding RNA, 659 nt
Organism: Helianthus annuus (common sunflower)
Lineage: Eukaryota; Viridiplantae; Streptophyta; Magnoliopsida; Asterales; Asteraceae
Exons: 3
Source: RefSeq, a predicted model, not a curated record
UCCUUAUCUCUUUGGCUACCUUUUUCUUUUAGAUUUGAAAACACUAUCACAUUCAAACUAACCCACAUAUAUGUUGGGAUGACUCUUCGAUCGACAACAGUUUAUAUCAAUUUAGAUUCCUUCUUUGCCCACGAAACCUCAAUUUCAUUAGCCACGACCGUCGCACGUCCGUUCAUCACCGUAAACUCCGUCACCUGAAGCCUCCGAUCUGCAACAAGUUGCGGUUCGACGACUUUGACAGCCUCCGCACAACUACAUCCACCGUGAGCCGGCUUUAAUUUGGAACCAUCAUACCCCGCCUUUCUGCCACCGCGAACUAGCUCGUUGUCGUCGCGAACCAGAUUCAGCCACCUCACGUGUUCUUGUAUCACCGCUCUUGUCUCAGCUCUAAUUUGUUUGGGUUCAACAACUAAGGUUCUUGAUUUUCGAGAUCGACUUGACUAAUUGGUCUUGCUUUGCUUGCUAUAAGGUAAUUUGGGGAAACGUGGGGAAUAAGUGAAGAGUGUCGUGAAGAUAAAGAUUUAUUGUAUAUCGGUAAUGUAAAAAAAAUGUAAUUAGGAUCUUUUGUUUUCAACGUUAUGGAUUGGUUUUAGUUUUGAUAUCUGUAUGAGUAACACGUCAGCCUGUUCAGGUUGGGGUGUUACAUGUUGCCUCUUGAA